Molecule: ribosomal RNA, 482 nt
Filed under: uncultured bacterium
Lineage: Bacteria
Description: partial 16S ribosomal RNA
Rfam family: Bacterial small subunit ribosomal RNA
Source: RNAcentral
AUUGAACGCUGGCGGCAUGCUUUACACAUGCAAGUCGAACGGUAACAGCACUUCGGUGGCUGACGAGUGGCGAACGGGUGAGUAAUACAUCGGAACGUGCCUAGUAGUGGGGGAUAACUACGCGAAAGAGUAGCUAAUACCGCAUGAGAUCUAAGGAUGAAAGCAGGGGACCUUCGGGCCUUGCGCUACUAGAGCGGCUGAUGGCAGAUUAGGUAGUUGGUGGGAUAAAAGCUUACCAAGCCGACGAUCUGUAGCUGGUCUGAGAGGACGACCAGCCACACUGGGACUGAGACACGGCCCAGACUCCUACGGGAGGCAGCAGUGGGGAAUUUUGGACAAUGGGCGCAAGCCUGAUCCAGCAAUGCCGCGUGCAGGAUGAAGGCCUUCGGGUUGUAAACUGCUUUUGUACGGAACGAAAAGCCCUCUUCUAAUACAGGAGGGUCAUGACGGUACCGUAAGAAUAAGCACCGGCUAACUACGUG